CAGAGAUAUGCCCUCCGGGGCAGACCUCCCACCCUGUAUAAUUUACUCUUGUUGCUUUGGCAGGCCGCCUUCGGCCCCUGGCUCUUUGCUAGGGAGCGCCUGCCAGAGGACCCCAACUCUUGUGUUUAGUGUCGUCUGAGUACUAUAUAAUAAGUUA
RNAcentral lists this unclassified non-coding RNA (157 nucleotides) under uncultured Helotiales. RNAcentral's name for it is "sequence contains ITS1". The record is from RNAcentral. Lineage: Eukaryota; Fungi; Ascomycota; Leotiomycetes; Helotiales.